GAUGAACGCUGGCGGCGUGCCUAAUACAUGCAAGUCGAGCGAACAGACGAUGAGCUUGCUGCUCUGACGUUAGCGGCGGACGGGUGAGUAACACGUGGAUAACCUACCUAUAAGACUGGUAUAACUUCGGGAAACCGGAGCUAAUCCCGGAUAAUAUAUUGAACCGCAUUGUUCAAUAGUGAGAGACGGUUUUGCUGUCACUUAUAGAUGGAUCUGCGCCGCAUGAGCUAGUUGUUAAGGUAACGGCUUACCAAGGCAACGCUGCGUAGCCGACAGGAGAGGGUGAUCGGCCGCACUGGAAGUGUGACACGGUCCAGUGUCAUAGGGGAGGGGGCAGUAGGGAAUCUUCAGCCAUGAGCGAAAGAUAGUCGGAGCAACGCCGAGUGAGGGAUGAAGAUCUUCGGAUCGUAAAACUCUGUUAUUAGGGAAGAACAAAUGUGUCAGUAACUAUGCACGUCUUGACGGUACCUAAUCAGAAAGCCACGGCUAACUACGUG
Molecule: ribosomal RNA, 497 nt
Filed under: uncultured bacterium
Lineage: Bacteria
Description: partial 16S ribosomal RNA
Rfam family: Bacterial small subunit ribosomal RNA
Source: RNAcentral